Molecule: long non-coding RNA, 2751 nt
Filed under: Vitis vinifera (wine grape)
Lineage: Eukaryota; Viridiplantae; Streptophyta; Magnoliopsida; Vitales; Vitaceae
Description: long non-coding RNA (VVIN_LNC004652)
Source: RNAcentral
UCUCCGAUAAGAAGCAGCAGCAUGGGACUCCAUUGGAGAGAAUUCUCCACACACGGUCACAUAAAGGUUGCCAUACACAGUUGAAAAGAUAUCCAUAGGAUGUACCAUAAGAUGGUGGUUGUAGCCACACGUUGGACUUAAGAAAAGCGGUUGUCACUUUCAAUACACCAUAAGGGAGAAAAGAUUCACACACGCAACAAUGGGAAGGUAAGUUGAUUUUUUUUUUUUUAGUUUGGUUUUUUAUUAAUUAUAUAUGUUUGAAAAGUUAUUAUUUUUUAGUUUGGUUUUGAUUAAUUAUGUAUAUUUAUAUUGAAAGGUAUGAUUUUUUUUUUUUGUUUAGUUUUUAAUUCAUCAUAUUAUAUUGAAAGGUUUUAAUUUCUUUAGUUUAGUUUUUUUAGUUCAUUAUAUUAUAUUAAAAAGUUAGAAUUGUUUUUAGUUUCCUUUUUAUUUAUUGUAUCAUAUCGAAAGGUUAUAAUUUUUUUAUUAUCAUUAUAGUUCACUAGAUUAAUUGUUUUGUAGGAUAAAAUUUUUAUUUUGAAGCUUGUGCCAUGUUAGUUUAUUUCGUUUAAGUUAAUUCAAAAGUUUUAUAGUUUUAAUUAAUUAGUUUAAUUCGUUUGAUUGAUUUGAUGUCAUGAUGUUUUAUCUUACAAAGUUUGAUAAUUGUAGUACUUAAUCAUCUUGUUUUAGGUUUUGUGUUAUUAGGUUAUUUACCAUGCAAUUAAAAUUUUAUCUUGUAAAGUUGGAUAAUUUCAGUGCUUAAUCAUCUUGUUUUAGGUUUUGUGUUAUUAAAUUUUUUUCUCUAUGCUAUUUAAAGUUCUCAUUUUUAGUAAUUUGGUAGUUCUUUGGUUUAGAUUUUCUUGUUAUACAUGUCUUUGAUUGUGUUAUUAUAUUUAAAGUUCUUGUCUUUAGAAAUUUGGUAGCUAAGAGUUUUUAGAUUUUCUAGUUAUUAUGCAUGCCUUUGAUUGCAUUAUUAUAUUUAAAAUUUGCAUAUUUAGAAAUUCGGUAGUUCUUAGGUUUUAGAUUUUCUUGUUAUUAUGCAUGUCUUUGAUUGCACUAUGUUAUUAAAUUCUCAUAUUUGGAAGAUUGUUGAUUCUUAGGUCUUAAAUUUGCUUGUUAUUAUAUUUGUAAUUUGAUGAUUAUUUUUAUUGAAUGUUUCAUCCUUAGAAGAUUGGUAUUUUUUAGGUUCUAGAUCUUUUGGUUUUAUUUCAUGCUAUUAAAAAAAGUCUUGAUUUUUAUUUUUGAAAGCAUAUUGGUUUGAUGGAAUCCUUAUAUGAAAGAUUUUUUCACAACUCAUCCUUGUUGUCGGUUUCCACUCACCUAAUAACCAUUUGGAUUUAAAAUUCGUUUUGAUAAUUUAGAGUACUUUUCAAAAAAUUUCCAAAAAAUUUAUGAUAUUCAUUACUUCUUGAACUUGAUUUUGGAAUAUUAUUCGAGUAAAAAAGAUUUUCUUGAAGUCAAAAUUAUGACAAUCUCUUUCAGCAUGUUUUGUUUAGGCUUACUUCUAUACACUUGAGAGCACUUUACAAAAUUAAAUUACUUUUUGAUAUUUUGAAUUUAAAUAAAUAUUUUCCUCAAAUUUUUUACUUCUUAAAAUUGAAUUUUGAGAUAUUAUUAAAAAAAAUAUGUUCUCUUGAGAGAGAUAUGAUUUUUCAAAUUUGUGCCUACUGCACAUGACUUUUUUUGGAUAGUUGAUAAGUUUGAGUGUUUUAAAAAUACUUUCUAGGGCUCUCUAGUCUUGGAUUUAUUUAUUAUUAUUAUUUUUUUGUAAACUAAACAACUUAAAGGACAUGUAUGAUUUUUUUUUUUUUUUAUGAUUUUAGGAGACUAAUUACUACUCAAAAACCACACAUUUUAGAUAAUAAUUCUCAUGAGUUUCAUACAUUUUGAGCAGUAAUUAUGCCUAAUAUACCCAAGUAAUACAUUGCUGCUACCCUUACAAGAUAUACUAAUGGUUUUUGUGAAGUUUUGGAGAUAUUUCAAGGUGAUUUUUAAAGUAUUGAGUGACAAAAGAGAAAUGGAAUCGAGGAAGGUAAACAAUAUGGAUGAUGAGGAAGAAGCAAUGCUUGGACCAAGAUUUGGAGCUGAAUUGAAGGUGGUUGAGGUGGAUUCAAAAGAAAGAAAUGGGAGAAAUGACAAAAAGGAGUUGAAAAACUAUGUUUUUCCAUUUCGUAUGAUCAUGCGAAAGUUUCGCAUAGUUAUGCAAAAUGGACCAGAAAACAAUUUUGGCUGCAACUCAAAGGGAAAACUAAAAACUGAUUUCGCAUGACCAUGCAAAAAUUUCACACAGUCAUGCGAAAUGCUCCAGGAAUACGAAAUUGGUGUUGAUGCAUUUUCCACUUUGCACAAUCGUGCGAAAUUGUUGGAGCUUGUGUGAAAUUGCAUUUUUCCAGAUUUCUUGGUGAAGAAGCCUCUGAAAGACCUCUUGGAUGAUGCCAAGUGUCCACUUGAACUUGACCUAUAAAUAGAAACUUGAUUUACUCAUUUGGGGGACUUUUAGACAUUUUCUAAUUGUAGAACUUUCCAGAUUUUCUCUUUCUAUAGAAUUCUCUAUUUUCCUUCAUUUUCUCUCAUUUUCUCGGUAGUUUUGAGACCAAAUCUCCAAGCAUGAGUGGCUAAAUCUUGUUUUUCUCGAAGGAGCAAGAUCUAUGGUGAAUUAGAGAAAUGAGCUUGAAUUGCAAAGGUAAUUUGAUCCAAUUGAUUGAUUAAUUCAAAUCAUAUAUUCAAUUUAUCUUAAAUUAUCUUCCAAUGAUU